CCUACGGGUGGCAGCAGUUGGGAAUCUUGGACAAUGGGGGAAACCCUGAUCCAGCCAUGCCGCGUGAGUGAUGAAGGCCUUCGGGUUGUAAAACUCUUUCGACGGGGACGAUAAUGACGGUACCCGUAGAAGAAGCUCCGGCUAACUUCGUGCCAGCAGCCGCGGUAAUACGAAGGGGGCUAGCGUUGUUCGGAAUUACUGGGCGUAAAGCGCGCGCAGGCGGUCUUCCAAGUCAGUGGUGAAAGCCCGGAGCUCAACUCCGGAACUGCCAUUGAAACUGUUAGACUUGAGGAUGAGAGAGGUGAGUGGAAUUCCCAGUGUAGAGGUGAAAUUCGUAGAUAUUGGGAAGAACACCGGUGGCGAAGGCGGCUCACUGGCUCAUUACUGACGCUCAGGCGCGAUAGCGUGGGGAUCAAACAGGAUUAGAUACCCCAGUAGUC
This 440-nucleotide ribosomal RNA is filed under the name uncultured Alphaproteobacteria bacterium. RNAcentral's name for it is "bacterial SSU rRNA". It matches the Rfam family "Bacterial small subunit ribosomal RNA", at positions 338 to 795 of the family's 1533-position model. Lineage: Bacteria; Pseudomonadati; Pseudomonadota; Alphaproteobacteria. The record is from RNAcentral.